This 53-nucleotide transfer RNA is filed under the name Rhizoglyphus robini. RNAcentral describes it as "tRNA-Cys". The record is from RNAcentral. RNAcentral also lists the same sequence under 1 other name. Lineage: Eukaryota; Metazoa; Arthropoda; Arachnida; Sarcoptiformes; Acaridae.
AUCUCUUAAGUUGAAACAACAUUAGAUUGCAAAUCUAAAGAAUUAAAGAGAUA